UACAGAGGUGGCAAGCGUUGUUCGGAAUUACUGGGCGUAAAGGGCGCGUAGGCGGCCUUCUAAGUCGGACGUGAAAGCCCCAGGCUUAACCUGGGAACUGCGUCCGAUACUGGGAGGCUUGGAUUCGGGAGAGGGAUGUGGAAUUCCAGGUGUAGCGGUGAAAUGCGUAGAUAUCGGGAGGAAUACCGAUGGCGAAGGCAACUGCCUGGGCCUGAACUGACACUGUGACACGAAAGCGUGGGUAGCAAACAGG
Molecule: ribosomal RNA, 253 nt
Filed under: uncultured bacterium
Lineage: Bacteria
Description: partial 16S ribosomal RNA
Rfam family: Bacterial small subunit ribosomal RNA
Source: RNAcentral